Molecule: ribosomal RNA, 510 nt
Filed under: uncultured bacterium
Lineage: Bacteria
Description: partial 16S ribosomal RNA
Rfam family: Bacterial small subunit ribosomal RNA
Source: RNAcentral
GACGAACGCUGGCGGCGUGCUUAACACAUGCAAGUCGAACGAAGAGCGAUGGAAGCUUGCUUCUAUCAAUCUUAGUGGCGAACGGGUGAGUAACGCGUAAUCAACCUGCCCUUCAGAGGGGGACAACAGUUGGAAACGACUGCUAAUACCGCAUACGAUCUAAUCUCGGCAUCGAGGAUAGAUGAAAGGUGGCCUCUACAUGUAAGCUAUCACUGAAGGAGGGGAUUGCGUCUGAUUAGCUAGUUGGAGGGGUAACGGCCCACCAAGGCGAUGAUCAGUAGCCCGUCUGGGAGGGUGGACGGCCACCUUGGGACUGAGACACGGCCCAGACUCCUACGGGAGGCAGCAGUGGGGAAUCUUCCGCAAUGGACGAAAGUCUGACGGAGCAACGCCGCGUGAGUGAUGACGGCCUUCGGGUUGUAAAGCUCUGUUAAUCGGGACGAAAGGCCUUCUUGCGAAUAGUGAGAAGGAUUGACGGUACCGGAAUAGAAAGCCACGGCUAACUACGUG